This 1480-nucleotide ribosomal RNA is filed under the name metagenome. RNAcentral's name for it is "bacterial SSU rRNA". It matches the Rfam family "Bacterial small subunit ribosomal RNA". The record is from RNAcentral.
AGAGUUUGAUCCUGGCUCAGGACGAACGCUGGCGGCGUGCCUAACACAUGCAAGUCGAGCGGAGACAGUGAGUAGCUUGCUAUGAGCUGUUUUAGCGGCGGACGGGUGAGUAACGCGUGAGCAACCUUUCCCAGACAGGGGAAUAACACACCGAAAGGUGUACUAAUACCGCGUAAGACCACGGGAUCACAUGGUUCUGGGGUAAAGGAUUUAUCGGUUUGGGGUGGGCUCGCGUCCGAUUAGGUAGUUGGUGAGGUAACGGCCCACCAAGCCGACGAUCGGUAGCCGACCUGAGAGGGUGAUCGGCCACAUUGGGACUGAGACACGGCCCAAACUCCUACGGGAGGCAGCAGUGGGAAUAUUGGGCAAUGGAGGAAACUCUGACCCAGCAACGCCGCGUGGAGGAAGAAGGUUUUCGGAUCGUAAACUCCUGUCCUUGGAGACGAGUAGAAGACGGUAUCCAAGGAGGAAGCCCCGGCUAACUACGUGCCAGCAGCCGCGGUAAUACGUAGGGGGCAAGCGUUGUCCGGAAUAAUUGGGCGUAAAGGGCGCGUAGGCGGCUCGGUAAGUCUGGAGUGAAAGUCCUGCUUUUAAGGUGGGAAUUGCUUUGGAUACUGUCGGGCUUGAGUGCAGGAGAGGUUGGUGGAAUUCCCAGUGUAGCGGUGAAAUGCGUAGAGAUUGGGAGGAACACCAGUGGCGAAGGCGACUAACUGGACUGUAACUGACGCUGAGGCGCGAAAGUGUGGGGAGCAAACAGGAUUAGAUACCCUGGUAGUCCACACUGUAAACGAUGAAUGCUAGGUGUAGGGGGUAUCGACCCCUUCUGUGCCGCAGUCAACACAAUAAGCAUUCCGCCUGGGGAGUACGGCCGCAAGGUUGAAACUCAAAGGAAUUGACGGGGGCCCGCACAAGCAGCGGAGCAUGUGGUUUAAUUCGACGCAACGCGAAGAACCUUACCAGGUCUUGACAUCCACUUAAACUUACAGAGAUGUAAGGUGUGCUUGCACAAAGUGGGACAGGUGGUGCAUGGUUGUCGUCAGCUCGUGUCGUGAGAUGUUGGGUUAAGUCCCGCAACGAGCGCAACCCUUAUCUUCAGUUACUAACGCGUGAGGGUGAGGACUCUGAAGAGACUGCCGGGGACAACUCGGAGGAAGGUGGGGACGACGUCAAAUCAUCAUGCCCCUUAUGACCUGGGCUACACACGUGCUACAAUGGCCACGACAGAGAGAAGCGAAAUCGCAAGGUAGAGCGGAACUCAAAAAAGUGGUCCCAGUUCGGAUUGUGGGCUGCAACCCGCCCACAUGAAGUCGGAGUUGCUAGUAAUCGCGGAUCAGCAUGCCGCGGUGAAUACGUUCCCGGGCCUUGUACACACCGCCCGUCACACCAUGGGAGUUGGGAGUGCCCAAAGCCGGUGAGGCAACCGCAAGGAGCCAGCCGUCUAAGGCAAGACCAAUGACUGGGGUGAAGUCGAAACAAGGUA